ACAGAGAGAAACACAGCAGGAGCCCUUUAACGGGAAGGACAAUGGGGGAAGAAGACUGCCCAGAGUAGUUUCCAGGCUCAUCUUCAGCAGAUUUUCUCAAAAAUAAGUGCCAUUGAGAUCAAGGCAUCAGCUAACUAGCAUACAUAUGAUUAAGACUUCACUCUGCAGCACAUUGACAGCCAUCUUGUUGGCCUGUGGCUUCUCACCUAAAGGUAAAAUGGAAUGAAGAAGAACCUGGUUCAGCGACUUCCAGCAGUUUGAUGGCAUAAGCUAAAGCUUCCCUUAUCCCAGUGAAAGGCCAUUUAACCUAGCAAGGCCAUCCCCGCCCACCCUCAGUAAAGCAAGGCAAUAAAAGAAAAACACAAAAAACA
This 371-nucleotide long non-coding RNA is filed under the name Pogona vitticeps (central bearded dragon). RNAcentral describes it as "lncRNA (ENSPVIG00000002337.1)". Lineage: Eukaryota; Metazoa; Chordata; Lepidosauria; Squamata; Agamidae. The record is from RNAcentral.